GAUGAAGAACGUAGCGAAAUGCGAUAAGUAGUGUGAAUUGCAGAAUUCAGUGAAUCAUCGAAUCUUUGAACGCACAUUGCGCCCCUCGGUAUUCCGAGGGGCAUGCCUGUUCGAGCGUCAUUAUAACCCCUCAAGCUCAGCUUGGUGUUGGGGCCUGCUGCACUGGCAGCCCUUAAAAUCAGUGGCGGCGCCAUCUGGCUCUAAGCGUAGUAAUUCUUCUCGCUAUGGAGUCCUGGUGGAUGCUUGCCAUCAACCCCCAAUUUUUCUAUGGUUGACCUCGGAUCAGGUAGGGAUACCCGCUGAACUUAAGCAUAUCAAUAAGCGGAGGA
This 329-nucleotide unclassified non-coding RNA is filed under the name soil metagenome. Its description in RNAcentral is "partial contains 5.8S ribosomal RNA, internal transcribed spacer 2, and large subunit ribosomal RNA". The stretch from base 1 to 120 matches the Rfam family "5.8S ribosomal RNA", at positions 35 to 154 of the family's 154-position model. The record is from RNAcentral.